Molecule: long non-coding RNA, 2678 nt
Organism: Chinchilla lanigera (long-tailed chinchilla)
Lineage: Eukaryota; Metazoa; Chordata; Mammalia; Rodentia; Chinchillidae
Exons: 6
Source: RefSeq, a predicted model, not a curated record
GUCAGCAGACAAUGCCAGAAGUAAGGGUUGUGCAGAUUGGACAACCCUUACUAGGUUCCACAUAAGUGGGAAACUCCGUGGUCCCUGUACCGUGAAUACUGAGCUCCAUGAUAGGACAUGGUUGUGGCCCCUUGUCCACGUGAAUCCUGAAAGGGAAGCAUCUCUUUAUUGGAAAACUAGACAUUCGUCUUCCACAGAAGUGUCAAGGAAGGAGAAGAAACACAAGGGCCAUAGGUUGAAGAGCACAAUAUGGAUUCCUAGCUGGAUGUGGUGAGUACAGUACACAGUUAUUGCCUGAAGGAGGAGGAUGACUCAAGGCUCAGCUCGCCUGUGACUGGACAACCCCUAGAACUGUACUUUAUGUUCCAAAGAAUUUUUCACGUGAACCCUGUUAGUUCAACAUAAGAUUCAAGGUAUGAGUGUCAAUGGUGGACACCUCUAGUCACAGAGAUUUGGGAGGCUGAGACAGAAGGAGCACUUGAGCCCAGGAGUUCCAGGUCCACCUGGACAACACAGACCUCAUAUCAAAAAGACAAGAUUCAAAAUAUGGCCAACCUCAACAUGACACUAUAAAAGGGAAGCUGAAUUUUACCAAUUUGUACUGCUCUCCAGGAAAGAGACAUGCAGUAUCUGAAAGUGAGGGCUGCUCCUUGCAGUUCCCAGCCUGGGCUGCUCUUCCUGUGCAAGACCCAGAGCUCCAGCCCUGAUGUCUACAGAGGGGGUGAUCAGAAAAUACGAAUUGCUUGGCCUAGAUUCAACGCAACCCAAAAUACAGAAGUGGACACUGGUGCAAACAGAGACAUCCCUGGGAGAAAUCUCAUUCAUUCAUUCAUUCAUUCAUUCAUUCAUUCAUUCAUUCAUCUUCCCAUUCUCUUUUUCCCUAGCCCCCAGGUAACACUCUGAUGGAGCCUAAGAUUCCCGGGGGAGGAGGAAUCUUCCCUGUGAUCAGGGGAACUGCAGGAGAGGGAGGGAAAAACCCUAAUUCUUUUUCUCUCUGUCCUCCUACUAAUUGUCCCAUAAUACAGAUAUACUUGUCGGAAGUAUAUAGCAGACCAGGCUAAGUAAAGCCCCUCCUUUCUGGCCAUAGGACCAAAAUGCCUAGCUCCUUGGGAACUAGAAAUUGUCAGAGAGAAGGAAGGGCUAGGAAAAGAAACCCUAAAAAGUUGUUUAUAAAGUUUUGGGCUCAAUCGUGAGAUGUACAAAAAUAGACCUGACCUUAAAUAGCACACCAUUAAUUUUGAGAACUGAACUACAAAACAAACUAUUGCUUGGGGCCCAGACUGGACAUGGGACACCAUACUUGUACAAAAGGACAGACCUGAAGUCUUGGAAAAUAGAACUGAUAUUGAAACCACAACUCAUAGAAGACUGGUUGGAACUUGUGACCUGACCUCAAGCAGGUAACAAAGCAACAUUCUCCAGACUUUAAUGAGCUCUAGAGUCCUAUAAUCAUCAAAAUGUCCCAGGUACAAUAAAAAUUUCUCAGCACAUAUGAAGAACUGACAAAUUUCAUUGUGUACAGGAAAAGACAAUAAAAACAUCAAUACCAAGAUAAUGCAGAAUUCAAAAUAGCUAUUAUAAAAAUAUUACAAUAUAUAAUGUAAACAUUCUUCAAGUGAAUGAAAGGAUAAAAUGUCUUAGAAAAGGCUAGGAUGUAGCUCAGGGGUAGUAUGCUUGUCUACCAUAUACAAAGCCCCAAGUCCCACUGCCUCUCCCAUCACAAAAAAAGCAUUAGAAAAUAAAUUAAAAAUAUGAAGAAGAACCAGGAGGAAAUUUUAGAAACAAAGACUAAUAUAACAAAUAAAAAUCUCAUUGGUUAGGCUUAAUAGCAGAAUUGAGAUGGCAAAGAGUCAGUAAACAUCAAUAAAAAUUAUAAAAUCUAAGCAAUACCAAAAAAAGAUUGCAAAAUAAAGAACAGAGCUUCAUGAACCUGUGAGGAGAUAACAAAACAAUCAACAGCUUUGUCAAAGGAGUCCUAGAAAGAAAGGAGAAAGAAUCUGGUGUAUAAGAAAAUCUUAAGAAAGAAUGACUAUUCCCCAAAUUUGGAGAAAAAUAUAAAUCUGCAGAUUUCAGAAAAUUCCAAACAAAAUCCAUGCCCAUGCAUAUUGUUACCAAACUGCAGAAAACUCAAGAAAAAAUAUUUAAAACAGCUAGAGAAAACACAUAACUUCUAAGAGAAUGUGAUUGAAAUUGCUACAGAUUUUUCCAGAAGGAAAAACAUUUUCAAAGUGCUGAAAGAAAAGAACUGUCAACCCAUAAAUCUACAGCUAGUAAAAAUAUCCUUCAGGAAUAAAGAAGUGAAGCCAUUUUCAAGUGAAGGACUACUAAGAGAUUUCAUUGUCAUUAGCCUGCAUUUUCUAGAAAGUAGGAAUAUCAGGAAGAUAUGAAGGAAGCCAACAAAAUGGUAAACACCUGGGUAAAUACCCUAGACUUUCUUCUUGAGUCCUUUAGAAUAUAAUUGAUGGUUGGAAGGAAGAGGUUUAAUAUUGUCUAGUGGGGGUUUUAAUAGAUGCAGCUGUAACAAGACAAGCACAACAUAAAGGAACCUUCUAUGUUGAAAACACACUACUUGAGAAGGUAAAAUAGUGAUUCUACACAGACUGUGAAAAGUUAAGUAUGUAUAUUUUAAUCCCUAAAAUAAAUACUUUAAAAUUACACAAAGAGAUAUUUAGCAAAAA